This 394-nucleotide ribosomal RNA is filed under the name uncultured bacterium. RNAcentral describes it as "bacterial SSU rRNA". It matches the Rfam family "Bacterial small subunit ribosomal RNA", at positions 97 to 520 of the family's 1533-position model. The record is from RNAcentral.
GGCGACCGGGUGAGUAACACCGUGACCAACCUACCCUCGAGUGGGGAAUAACUCCGGGAAACCGGAGCUAAAUACCGCAUAACAUCGCAAGAUCAAAGCCGCAAGGCGGCUUGAGGAGGGGGUCGCGGCUGAUUAGCUAGUUGGUAGGGUAAUGGCCUACCAAGGCGAAGAUCGGUAGCCGGCCUGAGAGGGCGCACGGCCACACUGGAACUGAAACACGGUCCAGACUCCUACGGGAGGCAGCAGUGGGGAAUUUUGCGCAAUGGGGGAAACCCUGACGCAGCAACGCCGCGUGGAGGAUGAAGUCCCUUGGGACGUAAACUCCUUUCGACCGGGACGAUACUGACGGUACCGGAAGAAGAAGCACCGGCUAACUCUGUGCCAGGAGCCGGGG